Molecule: long non-coding RNA, 3767 nt
Organism: Callorhinchus milii (elephant shark)
Lineage: Eukaryota; Metazoa; Chordata; Chondrichthyes; Chimaeriformes; Callorhinchidae
Exons: 3
Source: RefSeq, a predicted model, not a curated record
GUUUAUUAUCAUUAUUAGUAUUAAUGCAGCACUUCCUCCAGUUAAGACUGAACAAAAUUGCCGAAAAAUUGUGCAACAUCUUAAAAUGUGAAAUAAUGGCCGAGUAUUAUUGGAAGUUUUAGGACUCCGUCUACACUGUGAGUCUCAAUCAUGCCAUUUUGUUUAAUUACUCUACAGGGAGCGAAACUCCAGGCUCUAAAGAAACGCCAUGGAGCGGAGGAGAGGCCUGAGCAGCAGAUACGGUUUGAGAAAUAGGGAGAGAAAAAACUUACGCUGAGGAAAUGCAUCAGCUCCAAGGACUUGCAGAAAUCAAAGAGCACAUUGUAACUGCUUUUCCUCUAAAUUUUAGAGCUUUCUGAGAUGUUAUACAGAACUGCAUUCUGUUCCACACAUUCCUCACAGAACAAAAUCCGUUCUGCUCCUUCCUGAUCAAACCACGGGUCACCAAUCCGGGCAAACUAUCUGCAAUCACUGCCUUCAGCAUCACUUUAAGAGAGAAAUCAGUGGAAUUCCAGGAGCGUUGUGAGUCUCACCUGUGGAGGACACCACUACUACCCUCCGGACACGGACGGAGAGCAAGGUGGUCGUGUCUCAGACAGAAACCUGGUGAAGGUUAACAUAUUAACCUUCUGGGUUUUACCAGAAUUGUUUACCAUCAGAUUUCACAAGAAUUACAUUAACUUACGGAAAUAUUUGCUCCCGCCUGCGGUGACCCGAGUUAUUGCUGGUUGGAGUUUGGCUUCCUUAUUCGCUCAUCGUGUUCUGAAAAGCCGGCAAGCCAACAGGGCAGGAUAACUACGAAGUUAAGUCUUUAAAGAUACCGCACAAUAGUGGAAACAUGUUGCUUUAUUUACCAAGAUUCUGCAAUUUUUUAUUCAAUUCUACAAUUAUCACAGGUGCCAUACCGUUACCUGGGCUCAUAGUUAAUAUGAAAAGUGUCCCAUUAAUUAGCAAUCCAGUUCAAAUAUCCGUUUACAUACAAAUGUACAGAUUAACAGCAGAAUGUCUAUCAUCAGAUCAAAGUCGUUUCUGGAGAAAUACAUGACAAACUCGCUUUUUUUUAAUUGACUUGUCAAUUAGUUUAAACGCUGCUAUUUCUCACAGACAGUCACCUACGCUCUCCUCCUCUGUAACUGAGCUGUACACAUUCUCGAUUUCGACACUGGUCAAAAAUGGGCGCUGGUGAUUUAUUUUAAUUCUGUAUAUUGUGGAGCUGGGGAGACCAGCGAGGAAUAAUUUGAAUAGUGCAGUCAGAAGUGACGAAGUCGUGGAUGAGAAUUUCGGCUGCUGUGCAUGUGAGCUAUGGAUGGAGAUGGGCAACGUGUUGUUGUGUGAAAUAAGUGAACCCGGUCAGGGAAUCGAUGUCGGUUAGAAAGGAUAGCUGUUGCUGAAUAGUUUUGCUCAUUCUCCAGAUUUGGUUUGCGUACUUUAUAUUUUGACUUCAGGUUCUUUGACAGAAAUGUACUUUGAUUCUCAAUAACGUCUUGUCUGAAAAAAUGAAUAUUGCUCCGAAACAUCUCGAUGACGUGAUGAGCCGCUGUAUCAGAUGAGAGCAAUAUUAUUUUAUUAUAAAACAGAAUUAUUAUUAUUGUAAAGCAGACUGAACUUUCGAAGCUAGUUUACUGUCCAGAGAAUAUAGGAAUAUAUACAAAAACAUUCGCUGAAUAAAUAUGUGAGCAGAGCCUCAAUUUGGAUUACUUCCAACUUCAGGGAAAAGUUUUGGCUGAUAUCAGAAUGUGUGUUUGGUUAAAUGUUAGAUUCUAACCAGAUAAAUCCACAUAGGUUAUAUUUGAGUGCUUAGUCCGGCAAUCUUUCCUGCUGCUUGUCCAGCGAAGACGACCUUACAAUGGAGAAGUGUCCAAUGUGAUACCAGGAAGAACUCACUUUCCCUUUCCACAAAGUACUCCGCGCUGUCUGUUCAGCUCAGCUCACAGCUCCCUAUCAGAGACAGAGAGAGGGCGAGAGAGAGUGUGCGUUUGUCAGACUGUUCCUGAGUGUAUGUGUCACACAGAUUUGGACGUUUGGUGAAUCACAGAUUUCAGUAGCUCCGUCAAACGCUUCUCCUGUGAUUUUCUCCGUGUGGUUUAACCCCAGGUCUGCGGAGCCCCCGCCCCAUGGGACACACACUCAAGCCUCCGGGCUCUGAUCUUCACACGAGCUCCUCCUCAUCCUCGUCAUGGAGCCAUUGCUGCUGAUCUUCGGUGAGUAUUGCUUCUAACUCAAUGACACGGACGGCCCAACCAGAGAGAGAAUGGAAGGCAGAGAGGAAAAAGAGGCUUCUUGUUUGACCCUCAGAUGUCCUUUCUACCACACGCGUGGAAGGAGUAGAGAGUGGAGAGAAGGUAGAAAACUAUAAGGGGACAGUGAGGAGAGAAUGUAUAUUUCUGUGAUUCUUCGCCGCAUAAGCCUUUACGGUUCUUUAAUUUUAUACCUCAUAAACCUAUAUAACAGCUUUAAGAAUCAGAGUAAGAACACAGAAGGUUGAGGUGAUGAAGGUGGGAGUAAAGAAAGGCGUGAGGGCGGGGGAUAGGGAGGUUGGGAUCUGAAAGGCAGGGAACGAGGGAGAGGUUAAAGGGUGAGAAAGAAGGUAAACUAAUGGCGAAAGAGAGUGUGGUAGAGACAGGGGGGAGGGAAGCGAAGAGCUCGUGGAGAGUGAAGCCGUGAGGUCUCAGGGAGGUGGAUUGGGAUGGGGAAAAUAAUGGGAAGCAGGAGAAGGAGGCGUCGCAGAAAGGAUGCACGAUGGAGUAAAGGAAGGGGAGCAGGCGAGUGAGAGGGAGGGAAGGAGGGAGGAAUAUUGGGAAGGGAAGUCGAAUGGUGAGAGCAGAGGGAGUGGGGGGUAGAGGAAAAUAAAGGGGGAGAAACUCGGGUUGUUGUCACUGGUACAGAGAACGAUGAAUAGGUGUGGAGGUCUUUGCAAUGAUAAAUUAAUGUUGAUGCUUCCCCGAUUGAAGCUCUAUUGCUACGUAAAUGCAAGUUUUCAAACGCAAGCGGUUGUAGAUGGGAAACGGGAGAGGCGCAACCAGGAAAAAACGAGUAUAGCGACAAGGAGACACUGCGUGUUCUGCCUAUUAAAUGCAUAUUUCCCCGUUUCCGGACGGUCAACGAACCUUGACGUCUUCCAAGACUCGAAGGAGAAGCAGAAGCGCAAAAGAUCCUUGCACGAAAAAUAGAAGCGGGAGCCAAUGGGAAUGCCAGGCGGCGUCCGAUGCGAAAGGGGAGAGAGCCAACGUGUCGCGUCCUCGACCCGUCGUCAGAUCUGCUGCCGGAACAACUGAACGUCCCCAGAGACUUCUGCUUUUGCUCUCAGGAUUCCGGAGUCUGCAGUAAUUUGUGUUUUUUUCUUGCGCAGACAAUGCUGUUCAGCCCAAUAGUGUGUUUGCGAGUCUGUCAUAUUUCUGGAGAAAAAGACUGCGGCAUCUGCAGCUCAAAACCCCGAUUCUCAGGCACACACUGGGGGCCAGUCAAGCCCCCAGGAGUUAGUGGACACAAAGCAACGGGUUGUGCGACUGUCAGUGAUCCGGAGAUGAAAGAUCGAAGGAAAUCCAUUAUUUCCUGUUUGCAAUAUCCACAAAUUUUGGAUUAUAACGGACGGCAUAUCCGCUGUGUUUCUUUUGCAGGAUGAUUGGAAUCAGAAGCUCAAAUGACAAAAUUCAUGUAUUUUCUGUACCUAUUCUACCAAACAGACUACAUCCUAGCGUUAUUCAGUUCGUGUACGCACAAGGCUACCUACGGGGAUCCCCUGAUUAAAUUCAGAGAGGACCUUAAAA